This 381-nucleotide ribosomal RNA is filed under the name uncultured organism. RNAcentral's name for it is "partial 16S ribosomal RNA". It matches the Rfam family "Bacterial small subunit ribosomal RNA", at positions 527 to 896 of the family's 1533-position model. The record is from RNAcentral.
GAACCGUACGAACGUUAUUCGGGAAUCACUGGGGCUUAAAGGGUGCGUAGGCGGCCUGGUAAGUUGGGGGGGUGUGAAAAGCCCUCGGGCUCAACCGAGGGAAUUACGCCCAAUGCUGUCAGGCUCGAGGGAGACAGAGGUGAGCGGAACUGAUGGUGGAGCGGUGAAAUGCGUUGAUAUUAUCAGGAACACCGGUUGCGAAGGCGGCUCACUGGGUCUCUUCUGACGCUGAGGCACGAAAGCUAGGGUAGCGAACGGGAUUAGAUACCCCGGUAGUCCUAGCUGUAAACGAUGAGCACUAGGUCGGAGGCCCUUCCACAGGCUUCCGGUCGUAGCGAAAGUGUUAAGUGCUCCGCCUGGGGAGUAUGGUCGCAAAGGCUG